RNAcentral lists this ribosomal RNA (397 nucleotides) under Ebriida sp. TAGIRI1 lineage. RNAcentral's name for it is "partial small subunit ribosomal RNA". It matches the Rfam family "Eukaryotic small subunit ribosomal RNA", at positions 582 to 975 of the family's 1831-position model. Lineage: Eukaryota; Cercozoa; Thecofilosea. The record is from RNAcentral.
AUUCCAGCUCCAAUAGCGUAUAUUAAAGUUGUUGCAGUUAAAAAGCUCGUAGUUGGAUUUCUGGUCUGAUGCCCUGGCCCGCGUCCGAUUUCGGAGUGAGUGCCGGCUGUGCGUCUACCAUCCUUCUAGAAAACGGAUCUACCCUUCACUGGGCCGGGUUCGCGAUCUAGAUCUUUUACUUUGAAAAAAUUAGAGUGUUUAAAGCAGGCUUUUGCUAUGAAUACAUUAGCAUGGAAUAAUAAUCUAGGACUUCGGUUCUAUUUUGUUGGUUUCUAGUACUGAAGUAAUGAUUGAUAGGGAUAGUUGGGGGUGCUAGUAUUGGGCGGCCAGAGGUGAAAUUCUUGGAUUCGCUCAAGACUAACUUAUGCGAAAGCAUUCACCAAGGAUGUCUUCAUCA